CCUACGGGUGGCAGCAGUGGGGAAUAUUGGACAAUGGGCGAAAGCCUGAUCCAGCCAUGCCGCGUGUGUGAAGAAGGCCUUCGGGUUGUAAAGCACUUUCAGUGGGGAAGAAAGCCUUGGGGCUAAUACCCUCGAGGAAGGACAUCACCCACAGAAGAAGCACCGGCUAACUCCGUGCCAGCAGCCGCGGUAAUACGGAGGGUGCGAGCGUUAAUCGGAAUUACUGGGCGUAAAGCGCGCGUAGGCGGUCUGAUAAGCCGGUUGUGUAAGCCCCGGGCUCAACCUGGGAACGGCAUCCGGAACUGUCAGGCUAGAGUGCAGGAGAGGAAGGUAGAAUUCCCGGUGUAGCGGUGAAAUGCGUAGAGAUCGGGAGGAAUACCAGUGGCGAAGGCGGCCUUCUGGACUGACACUGACGCUGAGGUGCGAAAGCGUGGGUAGCAAACAGGAUUAGAUACCCCUGUAGUC
RNAcentral lists this ribosomal RNA (465 nucleotides) under Vreelandella stevensii. Its description in RNAcentral is "partial 16S ribosomal RNA". It matches the Rfam family "Bacterial small subunit ribosomal RNA", at positions 338 to 795 of the family's 1533-position model. Lineage: Bacteria; Pseudomonadati; Pseudomonadota; Gammaproteobacteria; Oceanospirillales; Halomonadaceae. The record is from RNAcentral.